RNA transcript from Sphaerodactylus townsendi, 2344 nucleotides. It is a transcript of the gene named histone H2A type 2-C, with no coding region annotated. The transcript is spliced from 4 exons. The record is from RefSeq and is a predicted model, not a curated record. NCBI's taxonomy places the organism in Eukaryota, Metazoa, Chordata, Lepidosauria, Squamata, Sphaerodactylidae.
GAUUUUUGUAAGUGUGAAGGUAGAUCGUAUCUGUGAUGUCUGGACGCGGCAAGCAAGGCGGCAAGGCGAGGGCCAAGGCGAAGUCUCGCUCCUCCCGGGCCGGCCUCCAGUUCCCCGUGGGGCGCGUCCACCGCCUGCUGCGCAAAGGUAACUACGCUGAGCGCGUCGGCGCUGGGGCGCCCGUCUACCUGGCCGCCGUGCUCGAGUACCUCACGGCCGAGAUCCUCGAGCUGGCCGGCAACGCUGCCCGCGACAACAAGAAGACGCGCAUCAUCCCGCGACACUUGCAGCUCGCCAUCCGCAACGACGAGGAGCUCAACAAACUCCUCGGCAAGGUCACCAUCGCCCAGGGCGGCGUCCUGCCCAACAUCCAGGCCGUCCUUCUGCCCAAGAAGACCGAGAGCCACAAGGCCAAAGGCAAGUGAGCGAGCCGCCGCCAGCGCCGAGGAAAGAAGGACAAAGGGGCUUGUCUCUAGUUUGAACCCAAAGGCUCUUUUCAGAGCCACCCACCGCUUCUAAAAAAAGAACUGAGCAUCUCAUGUGAGGUUGGCAAGUACCAGCUCUGCGCUUCUGACUGUCUGCCGUGUCUCUGAGCUCCCGCGGGAAACCUAACAAGUUGUGUUAAUUGCGUACUUCACUUUUGCGGCAUAGGUCAUUCUCUCCACUUCAUCCUCAAAACAGCCCUAUGAGGUGGGCCGUGUAUCUUACAAAGAAGAGUUAUGGUAGACUACCACAAGAUUGACUCAAGUAUAACAUUUCGUUGCUAGGGUUUGAGGAAAUUGACACUCGAGAAUGGUGCAUCCCUGAUUGCAGAAGCCCUGUUCUUUUCUAAAGAAGAACCUGAGACCAUCUAUGAAUGAGUCUGGCCUGAUGCAGAGCCUGCACACCAGGUGGAUGGCUCAAAACAGAGUGGUAGGAGGGACUUGAAAGACUGGACAAAUGGUGAUAACUUCCUGUGUCACUAGGGCAGCCCAUGCCCUACAGCAAACUGAAGGGAGAAUUGUAAACCCCUUCACAGAUUGCCCAGAUGCAUUUGGUGUUAUGCAUGCAUACAGACCUUGAUGGAAAGAGAAAGGGCUCAUGAGAAAAGAUUGCCAAUGGACACCAAGUUUUUCACUGCUCAAAGCACUCACUAGGACUAUACAAGUGGUAUGUGACCCAUACUAAAGUCAAAUACAUGGAACAUCUAGUAGUAGAAGGGGAUGGCCAAAUGGAAGAGUGGGGGUCCCUAAAGCAUGCCCUCAAAGGAUCCUGAAAACCUCCAAUGACGAGAUACUUUGCUACAAAUUCUAACUGAGUUUGCACUUUGUUUCAAGGCAGGGGAAGAGGUUUCUAAUCACGUGUUGCAUCAAUAAGCAACCAUUAAGAAGAUCAUGAGCUAGAAAGUGAGAAGCUUCCCCUUUUCAAAACAUCCAAGUGGACCAUACAAAAAUGCCUAUUAAAACUAAACUGCAGGCAUUAUCAAAGGCCCUCAUGUGUGUUUGGCUGCUCUCUAGAGGAAGCUAAGUCAGUGGUGGGAUCCACAAAUUUUAAUAACAGGUUCCGAUGGUGGUGGGAUUCAAACAGUGGCACACACACCUCCAGUCCCUGUUGGGCAGGGAGGUUGCUUUAGUAACCCCUUCUCGGCACUCAGAAAAAAUUAGUAACCACUUCUAGAGAAGUGAGAAGUGGUUGGAUCCCACCUCUGAGUUAAGUCCCUUACUUUUGAGCUAUAUGGUAAGCCUUUUCCCAUGGCCAGUGGAAUAAGAGAGACAUUAUUAGAAAUUAGAGAUAAAGCGUCAAAAAGACUAUGAUUUGCCUUGCAGUUUUGUCUUUCCCCUCUUUUCAUAAUAAUACAUUGGUACACCAACACAUCCUAUUAGACCGGUCCACCAACACUAGACUGGAAACUGGUGUUUCCAAAUCCACAGACCUGGAGGCAUGAAUCUUUAAAACCUGACUGAACAGGUCUACUUCAGAUAUCUCUGAUAAGCCAUAUUGCUGCUAUUAAUUGAUUGCUAAUAUCUUAAGGUCCAGUAGGAAAGUCAUGUUGCCUUUGCCAGACAAUUCCAGACUUCAAGGGAGCAACACUAGGCCCCCAGCUGUGACAACAGGGGUCUAGAAGCAGCUAAUUUCAGAAACUAACAAAACUUUCCUAAGUGAUUUCCAAAAUUGAUCAGCAGGACAUGUGUGUUUGCAACCUUUGUUUUGUUCAGUUCAUUUUAACUUUUUUUGGUACUUGCAGGUUUAACUUUCCAGAAAGAUGAGCAAUACCAAUAUGUUUUUUCACAGAGACUUCUUUUGGAGGGACAGUAUUCCAAUCAGUUUCAUUUUAGAGAAUUAUAAAAACCAGAGGUUCUGGAAA